CCUACGGGAGGCAGCAGUGAGGAAUAUUGGUCAAUGGACGAGAGUCUGAACCAGCCAAGUAGCGUGAAGGAUGACUGUCCUAUGGGUUGUAAACUUCUUUUAUAUGGGAAUAAAAUGUUCCACGUGUGGGAUUUUGUAUGUACCAUAUGAAUAAGGAUCGGCUAACUCCGUGCCAGCAGCCGCGGUAAUUCGGAGGAUCCGAGCGUUAUCCGGAUUUAUUGGGUUUAAAGGGAUCGUAGGUGGAUUGUUAAGUCAGUUGUGAAAGUUUGCGGCUCAACCGUAAAAUUGCAGUUGAAACUGGCAGUCUUGAGUACAGUAGAGGUGGGCGGAAUUCGUGGUGUAGCGGUGAAAUGCUUAGAUAUCACGAAGAACUCCGAUUGCGAAGGCAGUUCACUGGACUGCAACUGACACUGAGGCUCGAAAGUGUGGGUAUCAAACAGGAUUAGAUACCCUUGUAGUC
RNAcentral lists this ribosomal RNA (460 nucleotides) under uncultured bacterium. RNAcentral describes it as "partial 16S ribosomal RNA". It matches the Rfam family "Bacterial small subunit ribosomal RNA", at positions 338 to 795 of the family's 1533-position model. The record is from RNAcentral.